UGCAUCAUGAUGGUAUGAACGACUCCGCAAAUGCUAUAUCAGCGACGGCAUGGAUGUUUGGUCUAACAGGUUUGGGCACUGUCGAGCAGGAUUUCUUCACCGCGCUAAGUGUGUUUCAACGUUGCCCGAAAAGCUCUUGCCCGGCUCACUGCACUUCGGAAUGUCCAGCAAAAUGAGCUGAAUGAAGAUACCUGGAUGAAGUUCCAACUAUCAAAUUA
Long non-coding RNA from Rhipicephalus microplus (southern cattle tick), 218 nucleotides. Lineage: Eukaryota; Metazoa; Arthropoda; Arachnida; Ixodida; Ixodidae. The record is from RefSeq and is a predicted model, not a curated record.